This 485-nucleotide ribosomal RNA is filed under the name uncultured Sphingobacteriales bacterium. Its description in RNAcentral is "bacterial SSU rRNA". It matches the Rfam family "Bacterial small subunit ribosomal RNA", at positions 897 to 1382 of the family's 1533-position model. The record is from RNAcentral. Lineage: Bacteria; Pseudomonadati; Bacteroidota; Sphingobacteriia; Sphingobacteriales.
AAACUCAAAGGAAUUGACGGGGCCCGCACAAGCGGAGGAACAUGUGGUUUAAUUCGAUGAUACGCGAGGAACCUUACCUGGGCUUAAAUGUAGAGUGCAUUUUCUAGAGAUAGGAAUUCCCUUCGGGGCUUUUCUACAAGGUGCUGCAUGGUUGUCGUCAGCUCGUGCCGUGAGGUGUCGGGUUAAGUCCCAUAACGAGCGCAACCCUUAUCGUUAGUUGCCAUCUGGUAAAGCAGGGGACUCUAGCGAAACUGCCACCGUAAGGUGAGAGGAAGGUGGGGAUGACGUCAAAUCAGCACGGCCCUUAUGUCCAGGGCUACACACGUGUUACAAUGGUCGGUACAGAGGGCAGCUACCUGGUGACAGGAUGCUAAUCUCGAAAACCGGCCUCAGUUCGGAUCGAAGUCUGCAACUCGACUUCGUGAAGCUGGAUUCGCUAGUAAUCGCGCAUCAGCCAUGGCGCGGUGAAUACGUUCCCGGGCCUU